GGGGUCCUAUGGGGUCCGAUGGGGUCCUAUGGGGUCCCUUAUGGGGUCUUAUGGGGUUUCUAUGGGGUGUUAUGCGGUCCUAUGGGGUUUUGUGGGGUCUUAUGGGGUGUUAUGGGGUCCUAUGGGGUCCUAUGGGGUGUUACGGGGUCCUAUUGGGUCCUAUGGGGUCCUAUGGGUCCCUAUGUGGUUCUAUGGGGCUCUAUGGGUCUCUAUGGGGUCUUAUGGGGUCUUAUGGGGUCUUAUGGGGUCUCUAUGGGGUUUCUACGGGGUGUUAUGGGGUCCUAUGGGGUGUUAUGGGGUCCUAUGGGCCUCUAUGAGGUCCUAUGGGGUCCUAUGGGAUCCUAGGGGUCUCAAUGGGUCUCUAUGGGCUUUUAUGGGAUCUUAUGGGUUCUUAUGGGUCUCUAUGGGGUGUUAUGGGGUCCUAUGGGGUGUUAUGGGGUCCUAUAGGUCUCUAUCGGGUCCUAUGGGGUCCUAUGGGGUCUUAUGGGGUCUUAUGGGGUCCUAUGGGGUCCUAUGGGGUCUUAUGGGGUCUUAUGGGGUCUUAUGGGGGCUUAUGGGGUCUUAUGGGGUCUCUAUGGGGUCUCUAUGGGGUGUUAUGGGGUCCUUUGGGGUCUUAUGGGGUCUCAAUGGGGUGUUAUGGGGUCUCUAUGGGUCUCUAUGGGGUUGUAGGGGGUCUUAGGGGUCCCUAUGGGGUCCCUAUGGGGUCUUUAUGGGAUCUCUGUGGGUCUUUAUGGGUCUCUAUGGGGUCUUGUUGUGUCCUAUGGGUCCCUAUGGGUCUGUAUGGGGUUUUAUGGGGUCUCUAUGGGUCUCUAUGGGGUCCUUUGGGGUCCUAUGGGUCUCUAUGGGUUUCUAUGGGUUCCUAUGGGGUCUCAAUGGGUCUCUAUGGGUCUCUAUGGGGUCUUGUUGUGUGCUAUGGGUCCCUAUUGGUCUCAAUGCGGUGUUAUGGGGUCUCUAUGGGUCUCUAUGGGGUCGUAGGGGUCUUGGGGUCUCUAUGGGGUCUCUAUGGGUCUCUGUGGGUCCCUAUGGGUCUCUGUGGGUCUCUAUGGGUCUCUAUGGAGUGUUAUGGGGUUCCUAUGGGGUCUCUAUGGGGUCCUGUGGGUUUCUAUGGGGUUUUAUGGGGUCUCUAUGGGGUCUCUAUGGGUCUCUAUGGGUCUCUAUGGGGUUUUAUGGGGUCUCUAUGGGUCUCUAUGCGUCUCUAUGGGUUCUUAUAG
RNAcentral lists this long non-coding RNA (1211 nucleotides) under Phasianus colchicus (ring-necked pheasant). RNAcentral's name for it is "lncRNA (ENSPCLG00000016927.1)". The record is from RNAcentral. Lineage: Eukaryota; Metazoa; Chordata; Aves; Galliformes; Phasianidae.